GGGUGACGGAUCGCAUCCUGCCAGCUGGCUAAUAUCGUAAUUAACAAAGUUGCAACCACAUCGGAGAAGUUUAAUCGAAAAAUUUGCCGGCAGUAUGAUGGCAUUGUCCCAGAGAUCACAAGCUAGGCAGCAACGACUUUCACUCUGGGAGAAGGGGAGAAGAGGGAGUCUGAACUUAGCCAGUCCAA
Molecule: non-coding RNA, 188 nt
Organism: Sarcophilus harrisii (Tasmanian devil)
Lineage: Eukaryota; Metazoa; Chordata; Mammalia; Dasyuromorphia; Dasyuridae
Source: Rfam